Molecule: ribosomal RNA, 820 nt
Filed under: Salmonella enterica subsp. enterica
Lineage: Bacteria; Pseudomonadati; Pseudomonadota; Gammaproteobacteria; Enterobacterales; Enterobacteriaceae
Description: partial 23S ribosomal RNA
Rfam family: Bacterial large subunit ribosomal RNA
Source: RNAcentral
AUGUGCUGUGAGCUCGAUGAGUAGGGCGGGACACGUGGUAUCCUGUCUGAAUAUGGGGGGACCAUCCUCCAAGGCUAAAUACUCCUGACUGACCGAUAGUGAACCAGUACCGUGAGGGAAAGGCGAAAAGAACCCCGGCGAGGGGAGUGAAAAAGAACCUGAAACCGUGUACGUACAAGCAGUGGGAGCACAGGUUUACCUGUGUGACUGCGUACCUUUUGUAUAAUGGGUCAGCGACUUAUAUUCUGUAGCAAGGUUAACCGAAUAGGGGAGCCGGAGGGAAACCGAGUCUUAAUUGGGCGUUAAGUUGCAGGGUAUAGACCCGAAACCCGGUGAUCUAGCCAUGGGCAGGUUGAAGGUUGGGUAACACUAACUGGAGGACCGAACCGACUAAUGUUGAAAAAUUAGCGGAUGACCUGUGGCUGGGGGUGAAAGGCCAAUCAAACCGGGAGAUAGCUGGUUCUCCCCGAAAGCUAUUUAGGUAGCGCCUCGUGAAUUCAUCUCCGGGGGUAGAGCACUGUUUCGGCUAGGGGGCCAUCCCGGCUUACCAACCCGAUGCAAACUGCGAAUACCGGAGAAUGUUAUCACGGGAGACACACGGCGGGUGCUAACGUCCGUCGUGAAGAGGGAAACAACCCAGACCGCCAGCUAAGGUCCCAAAGUCAUGGUUAAGUGGGAAACGAUGUGGGAAGGCCCAGACAGCCAGGAUGUUGGCUUAGAAGCAGCCAUCAUUUAAAGAAAGCGUAAUAGCUCACUGGUCGAGUCGGCCUGCGCGGAAGAUGUAACGGGGCUAAACCAUGCACCGAAGCUGCGGCAGCGA